This 3523-nucleotide long non-coding RNA is filed under the name Gallus gallus (chicken). Lineage: Eukaryota; Metazoa; Chordata; Aves; Galliformes; Phasianidae. The record is from RNAcentral.
GAAUAUUUCCAAGGAGCUCAGUUUCCUAACAAUGCCAUUCUGUUAUUGACUUGCUUCAUGACUCUGUUACAGUAUUUUUACUGGAUUUCUUUCUCGUUUUUUGAAGUAUGCUUUGUGGUUACACUCAGAUCAGAAACCGAAGCCCAGAGGAGACAAGUGCUUUCCCAAUUGUAGAUAUACAGACUUGGGCAGGACAGGCAAACAGAUGCCUGGAUGUCUGUAGCAAAUACAAAUCUUGGCUACUAUUAAAUAUAUCAUCAGCAAAAUGAGCAAAUAUGUUAUUCUGAACAAAUGACUUUUUAGAUGAUACAUUUUAUUACAAUGUUCAAAGGGUUUUAUUUACUUCAGAAUCAAAGCAGUAGUCUACUCUACUUUUUAUAUCACUUUUACAUCUUGAUAGACCUAUGCCUUUGUGAGUUAAUACUGAACAAAAUUAAAGCUAAAAUAACAUUACAAAAAUCCUGGAUUUCAUAUAGAAUUUCUGUACGUGACCACUUCGAUAACCUUAGAUGAUGUAGCAGUUAACAUUUUGUUUAUGUGGGCUGUCAGUACCCCUGAUAUCUCUGUGUAAUAUAUAGAUGGAGACAGAGAAAACCAGGAACUAAAUGGGAACAGGGGAAUGAACUCGCAUGUGACUAUUACAUCAUUGAGAAGUAUCACCAGGCUCUCUCCUCAUGGUAUUACUAAGUAACAGCUCGAAUUUUUGUACAUUUGGGACAGGGCUGAGUCUAAAAAUGGUAACGUAAGGUAUUGCGGAAGUUAAAUCAUUUUGGAGGGAAAGAACCUUUUUAUUUUGUUUUUCUCAGAACAGUGAUGGCCAGAAUAGUUCUUCAGGGUGAGCUAGGCUGCAGUGCACAGCAGGAAGCACUUAAGGUGCUGGGCUUCAUAUACGGCCCUAUGAGUAAUCUGGCAUCACAGCAGAGCCAAAAACAGGGAAAGUCCCCCAAGUCAACAGACACAGCCGUGUUACUGUAAGGACUUGUGGGGCACAGCUCUGGGUUUUAUUCUCAGACCUGUCACCCACAUGUGACUAUGGACAAAUUCUCUGCAAUGCCAUUAAUAACAUAACUGAGUAAUAGAGUAUCAGAUGUUCUACUAUCAGCGUGGUCAACACGCUAUCCAAACUGCAUGGAGCAGAAGUCAGUAUUCAUAGAUAAUAAGGAUUUUGAAAAAUAUGUACUUGCUGUGUAUGUAUUGUUCAAAAAAUUACCACUAUAGCUGCUUUCAAGUAAGUAGAAAUUUCACUGAAUAUAUUGGUGCAUACAGAAUAAUGUACAUACUUUUAUCAGGCCAAGAUUUCAACUGAAAUUGUUGGAACAAGAUCUUCAGACUUUCACUGCUGUUCAUUCUUGCUUAUCCCGUGCAAUAUACAUACAUAGGAAUAGUAGGCACAAAGCAUAUUUAUCUUCCUGGGUCAAGAGCCAGGAUGAGAAUAAAGACACUCCUUGGUGUUGAUAACAACUGCUUUGUGGUUGAAACUGGAUCCUUGAUGUUCAGUGCCUGUUUUAUGUGGCGAGGUGGGAGGAGUCCUUAGGCUCCGUAUUUCUCUGUUAUCAGCUGGGAAGCAAGUGCUUGAGUUUCUUUCCUGGGGGAGACUAACUCCUGACAGGGCUCUCUCUCAUUUUAACAGAGAGCUAAGACAGCUUUUUAAGUAAGUAUGUUUUAUGAAGUUGGAGUCAGUGUCCUAAUCAUAGGAAAAAAUAAAAGCAACGAUAAAAGUCAAAUCAAUGAAAGCAGCUUUUUGGUUAUAUAUAGACAGACAGACAUUGAUAUCUAUAUAAUUUUUUUGCAAACCAAACAGGUUUUAGAGAGUGAAACUCAGUAGAUGCAACUGCUAUUCAUCGAUCUGUUUUCCCUUCCUGGACAGAAAGUCAGAUUAUGGAAACUGUUGUCCAAAAUAAAACAGAAGUUAAAUUUCAAAUCUAAUCCUUCAACGACAUAGUCACAAUGAGAACUGCAUUUUUCAUAAUCAUACAUUCUAACUGUAACUGCUCGAUCCUUGCUGUUUACCAUAUAAAAAAUAUUAUUUUCCAGAUCCUGGAAAAUAAUGGAAGAAAUACUAAUUACAGUGAGCUUUCUCUAAACUCCAAGAAGAACAGAGCAGAAAAACCAGUCAUUAAACAUCUCUAAUCACUUUGAUGUAUAGACUGUUUCAAGGCAGUGACAGCUUGAUAUUUCUAACAAGAACUGUAACAUGUAUCUUGGUCUAACUGUGACACUUUGAAUCUCCGCGUGGUUUUGAUUAAGUCACCUCAAAUCAGGUAGCUGAAUUAUGCCUAGGAAACAGCCGCACACAUGUUCAGCCAUGGUAGGUGCUUCUUAGUAAAAGUGCUGUUGAGAUAAUAGUUUUCAUCAAGGGUAGGGUUAAAUGAGUUUCACUUAGACAUUUUCAAUUGCUGUCUAUGAAGCAUGAAUCAGGAGGAGCCCUGCUUGGCUCUAGGCUCCCUGGGGAACAGGCAGACUUGGCAGUUCAAGGAAAAACUUGUUCAUAAAAUGAACAAAAGACAGAUUGAGACAGCCACAACGUCACUUUUAGAGUCACUUCUGAGAUUAGAAAUGCACUUUAGCUGAGCCUGUCACCUGCUCUCAAGCCUGUUUACUGUACACAUUACUAAGUGCAGUUAUUAUUGCUUGCUCUCUUUCUCAGAUCUGGGCGUACCUUUUCAAAAGACAUUAUGGAAAAUGCCUAAUGUAAACCUAGCUUGCUCCUCUGGAAGCCCGUCAGCUUUCUAUCUAUUGUUCAGCAGAGCACUGGUUAUCUGACACUGCAUACCGGGGAGGUUAAGUGAAUGUCAGCUCCUUUAAAGGCACAGGAAAUACUGACUGCACCAGAGAACAGCUGUCAUGCUUUUCCCUUUUGUUCUUGAACUGCAAGACUAUCCUUGCCUAAAUAUGAAAGAGAAACCUGCAAAACAAGAAUUGCAAGCUUCACUGAGAUAAAACAAGCCAAAUUAAUUCUUGAGGUAAGUACACAAAACAAAUGCUGUUAGAAGACGCUUAUCUGUUGGGGGAAGAUUUCAUUCAUUAGAGUGAAGAAUAGCUUAAGAUAUUUUUAUUAUAAGAUCACUGGAGUUGUAUUAGAGGCAAUUCACUUACAGUGGAUGAUCAUUUGUUUUGUCACCAGCAGUAACUCUUGAGUAAUACAUUUUCACUCAGUUGUUCCCUACUUCCAUGUCAGCUCAGGGAGAGUCCAUUGUGUGAUUCGAAGUUGCUCCAAAUAAAGCAAGCAGUUUUGAUUUCUUCAAGGGAAUUCACUGACUGUAUCGGUGACAGAACUUUGUAUGACAUUAAGUCUGCAGAUUACUGCUAAUGCUAAGUGUGGGUUUCCCGAUCUCACAGACAGCACUAGAAGUACAACCAGCUGGAAAAGUUUAGAGAAGUUAUUACAAUUGUUUUGUAAAUCUAAAAUUCCUGAGCCAUGGAAUCAUACAAUCAUGGAUUCCUAUCAUAAAGACUCACAUAGAAGCCACCUUCUGUUUUGAAGAAAUUAAUAAGCUGGUGAGAAAAAAUUGGAGGACGUGUG